This 1194-nucleotide ribosomal RNA is filed under the name human gut metagenome. RNAcentral's name for it is "bacterial LSU rRNA". It matches the Rfam family "Bacterial large subunit ribosomal RNA", at positions 1158 to 2436 of the family's 2925-position model. The record is from RNAcentral.
UUUGCGCGGAGAAUUUAACGGGGCUAAACCUGACACCGAAGCUUAGGCAAUCCAGUAAUGGAUUGGGUAGGGGAGCGUUGUAUACGCGGAGAAACAGUAGCGUAAGCGGCUGUGGAGUGUAUAGAAGUGAGAAUGCCGGAAUGAGUAGCGCGAAUGCAGUGAGAAUCUGCAUGGCCGAAAGCCUCAGGUUUUUGGAGGAAGGUUCGUCCGCUCCAAGUUAGUCGGGAGCUAAGGUGAGGCCGGAAGGCGUAGCCGAUGCACAGACGGUAGAGAUUCCGUCACCACCAAAAGAGUUAAGCACAGGGACACAUUUGAAGUCUCAGAGCCGGGUGUUGGUUCCGGUAGAGAUCGAGGGAAGUUAGUACCGAAGUCUGGGAUGGAAGAUGGCGAGAAAAGCUGUGUGUAUUUCUGAGGUGCCCGUACCGCAAACCGACACAGGUAGGUAGGAAGAAGAUUCUAAGGCCAACGGGAGAAGGGUUGUUAAGGAACUCGGCAAAUUGACCCCGUAACUUCGGGAGAAGGGGUGCUCCAGAGAUGGAGCCGCAGAGAAUCGGCCCAAGCAACUGUUUACCAAAAACACAGGUUUGUGCUAAAUCGAAAGAUGACGUAUACGAGCUGACGCCUGCCCGGUGCUGGAAGGUUAAGAGGAGAUGUGCAAGCAUUGAAUCGAAGCCCCAGUGAACGGCGGCCGUAACUAUAACGGUCCUAAGGUAGCGAAAUUCCUUGUCAGGUAAGUUCUGACCCGCACGAAAGGCGUAAUGAUUUGGGCACUGUCUCAACAGCCCGCCCGGCGAAAUUGUAGUACCGGUGAAGAUGCCGGUUACCCGCGACAAGACGGAAAGACCCCAUGGAGCUUUACUGUAGCCUAAUAUUGGGUUUCGAUGUUGCAUGCACAGGAUAGAUGGGACACUGGGAAACAAUCGCUUUGGCGGUUGCGGAGUGGCCGUUGGGAUACCAUCCUUGCGAUAUUGGAAUUCUAACCUGCGGCUCUGAAUCGAGUCGGGGGACAUUGUUAGGUGGGCAGUUUGACUGGGGCGGUCGCCUCCUAAAAAGUAACGGAGGCGUUCAAAGGUUCGCUCAGCUUGAACGGAAAUCAAGCAAAAGAGUGCAAACGCAGAAGCGAGCCUAACUGCGAGACUGACGGGUCGAGCAGUAACGAAAGUUGGAGUUAGUGAUCCGGUGGUAUGUGAGUGG